RNAcentral lists this ribosomal RNA (465 nucleotides) under uncultured bacterium. Its description in RNAcentral is "bacterial SSU rRNA". It matches the Rfam family "Bacterial small subunit ribosomal RNA", at positions 338 to 795 of the family's 1533-position model. The record is from RNAcentral.
CCUACGGGCUGCACCAGUGGGGAAUAUUGCACAAUGGGCGCAGGCCUGAUGCAGCCAUGCCGCGUGUAUGAAGAAGGCCUUAGGGUUGUAAAGUACUUUCAGUUGGGAGGAAGGCGUUGAUGCUAAUAUCAUCAACGAUUGACGUUACCAACAGAAGAAGCACCGGCUAACUCCGAGCCAGCAGCCGCGGUAAUACGGAGGGUGCAAGCGUUAAUCGGAAUUACUGGGCGUAAAGCGCACGCAGGCGGUCGAUUAAGUUAGAUGUGAAAUCCCCGGGCUUAACCUGGGAAUGGCAUCUAAGACUGGUCAGUUAGAGUCUUGUAGAGGGGGGUAGAAUUCCAUGUGUAGCGGUGAAAUGCGUAGAGAUGUGGAGGAAUACCGGUGGCGAAGGCGGCCCCCUGGACAAAGACUGACGCUCAGGCGCGAAAGCGUGGGGAGCAGACAGGAUUAGAUACCCUUGUAGUC